AUAGAAAACAACUGAUACGACAGUGGGCUUCAGAACUCCUCCUCGUAACAUUUUGGAGAUUUGACAAAGGCGGACUGUCAUGAGAUGAAAGAACUGUUUGUACAUCUGCAUGUGACAUCUCAAUCAAAAUUAUCCUCCGCCACUCAUUCUGUCAAUGCCACCACUUUUCCCAGAAAUGUGACUGAAUGUGGCUCACUAGUGAGUCACUCUCGGUCCGUACCGAGAAGUGGCUGUUCUUCGCUCUCAGACUCUUCUUGGGUUAAGAGCCUAGAGUUUAAACCUCUGGUUCCAGUCAUAACUGAAUGAAGAGCCUGUGCCGAACUCUCACAAUCUCCGUCUGCACCACAUCUGAGCUGCCGGGUGAAAAAUCCGCCGCCGUCUUGACAUUGAGAAUAGUGAACGAGCAUGUCGACGCUGCUGGAUCUGAAGAGCAGUGUGCUGAGGCAGGUGCAGAGGAGCCAGUCCCUGAGGACCAGGAGGGAGCCACCGGCAAGCACCAGCGCUGGAGGGAGUCCCCCGCCGGUCACCCGCCGCUCUGGCACCGUCGUACACAGGUGAGUCUGUACCACAAGAGCUCACUCUCUCAAAACUAAGGCUGCCAUUACAACCUAAAAGGCUUUUACUGCUGAAACCGAUACUUUAUUCACGAGUCCUAUUCUAUUUGUACUUUAUAAAGCUUCUUGUUACCUUAUAGGCGAAGCGGAACACAGUCCAGGAUUGAAUACCACUGCUUUAAAGCACCAGUACAAAGAUUUAUGUUUUCUAAAGAAGUGAAUAGUUGUAAUCUCUAUAGAACAAUGAAAUCAAUUCAAUUUGUAUUUGUAUGUAUUGUAUACGCAUAUACGCUCACAACGUAUCAUUCCAAAGCUGCUUUACAAACAAUAGUGCCUUUUAAACCUCCCAGAAAGAAGGAUAAAGAUGACAGUGGAAAAAGUGAGUAUGUUUAAGGAAGUGGGGAAGAAAGUUCGGAAAGGCCAUGGCUGUGGAGGCCUACAUUCUCACUUUGACACAUGCGUACAACAUAGACAACA
This is a long non-coding RNA of Cyprinus carpio (common carp), 1031 nucleotides long. The record is from Ensembl. NCBI's taxonomy places the organism in Eukaryota, Metazoa, Chordata, Actinopteri, Cypriniformes, Cyprinidae.